Molecule: ribosomal RNA, 766 nt
Filed under: uncultured Russula
Lineage: Eukaryota; Fungi; Basidiomycota; Agaricomycetes; Russulales; Russulaceae
Description: partial 28S ribosomal RNA
Rfam family: Eukaryotic large subunit ribosomal RNA
Source: RNAcentral
GAAUCCCGUCUUUGGCACGGAUGCCCGGUGCUUCUGUGAUGCGCUCUCGAAGAGUCGAGUUGUUUGGGAAUGCAGCUCAAAAUGGGUGGUGAACUCCAUCUAAAGCUAAAUAUUGGCGAGAGACCGAUAGCGAACAAGUACCGUGAGGGAAAGAUGAAAAGCACUUUGGAAAGAGAGUGAAACAGUACGUGAAAUUGUUGAAAGGGAAACGCUUGAAGUCAGUCGCGUCGACCGAGACUCAGCCUUGCCCUUGGCUUGGUGUACUUCUCGGCUGACGGGUCAGCAUCAAUUUUGCCCCUUGGAUAAUGGCGAGGGAAAUGUGACACCUUUACGGUGUGUUAUAGUCUCUUGUCGCAUGCAAGGGUUGGGAUUGAGGAACUCAGCACGCACCUUUGGGUGUCGGGGCUUUGCCCACGAUACGUGCUUAGGAUGUUGGCGUAAUGGCUUUAAACGACCCGUCUUGAAACACGGACCAAGGAGUCUAACAUGCCUGCGAGUGUUUGGGUGGAAAACCCGGACGCGUAAUGAAAGUGAAAGUUGAGAUCCCUGUCGUGGGGAGCAUCGACGCCCGGACCAGACCUUUUGUGACGGAUCCGCGGUAGAGCAUGUAUGUUGGGACCCGAAAGAUGGUGAACUAUGCCUGAAUAGGGUGAAGCCAGAGGAAACUCUGGUGGAGGCUCGUAGCGAUUCUGACGUGCAAAUCGAUCGUCAAAUUUGGGUAUAGGGGCGAAAGACUAAUCGAACCAUCUAGUAGCUGGUUCCUGCC